CGUCGUGGAAACUGGGUCUAAUACCGGAUAGGACCAUGCUUUAGUGUGUGUGGUGGAAAGUUUUUUCGGUGUAGGAUGAGCCCGCGGCCUAUCAGCUUGUUGGUGGGGUAAUGGCCUACCAAGGCGGCGACGGGUAGCCGGACUGAGAGGUUGGUCGGCCACAUUGGGACUGAGAUACGGCCCAG
Molecule: ribosomal RNA, 185 nt
Filed under: uncultured Actinomycetales bacterium
Lineage: Bacteria; Bacillati; Actinomycetota; Actinomycetes; Actinomycetales
Description: partial 16S ribosomal RNA
Rfam family: Bacterial small subunit ribosomal RNA
Source: RNAcentral